AGAGUUUGAUCAUGGCUCAGAACGAACGCUGGCGGCAGGCUUAACACAUGCAAGUCGAACGCGUGCAGCAAUGCACGAGUGGCGCACGGGUGAGUAACGCGUGGAUAUCUGCCUUUUGGUUCGGAAUAACCCCGGGAAACUGGGGCUAAUACCGGAUGGUACCUUCGGGUUAAAGAUUUAUCGCCAAAAGAUGAGUCCGCGUCCGAUUAGCUAGUUGGUGAGGUAACGGCUCACCAAGGCGACGAUCGGUAGUUGGUCUGAGAGGACGAUCAGCCACACUGGGACUGAGACACGGCCCAGACUCCUACGGGAGGCAGCAGUGGGGAAUAUUGGACAAUGGGGGCAACCCUGAUCCAGCCAUGCCGCGUGAGUGAUGAAGGCCUUCGGGUUGUAAAGCUCUUUUGGCGGGGACGAUGAUGACGGUACCCGCAGAAUAAGCCCCGGCUAACUUCGUGCCAGCAGCCGCGGUAAGACGAAGGGGGCUAGCGUUGUUCGGAAUUACUGNNNNNNAAGCGAGUGUAGGUGGUUGUUCAAGUUGGAUGUGAAAGCCUUGAGCUCAACUCAAGAAAUGCAUUCAGGACUGAGCAACUAGAGGACCGGAGAGGAUAGUGGAAUUCCCAGUGUAGUGGUGAAAUACGUAGAGAUUGGGAAGAACACCAGUGGCGAAGGCGGCUAUCUGGACGGUUUCUGACACUAAGACUCGAAAGCGUGGGGAGCAAACAGGAUUAGAUACCCUAGUAGUCC
This 744-nucleotide ribosomal RNA is filed under the name uncultured bacterium. RNAcentral describes it as "bacterial SSU rRNA". It matches the Rfam family "Bacterial small subunit ribosomal RNA", at positions 8 to 796 of the family's 1533-position model. The record is from RNAcentral.